UGGGGAAUAUUGGACAAUGGGCGCAAGCCUGAUCCAGCCAUGCCGCGUGAGUGACGAAGGUCUUCGGAUUGUAAAGCUCUUUUGCCAGGGACGAUAAUGACGGUACCUGGAGAAUAAGCCCCGGCUAACUUCGUGCCAGCAGCCGCGGUAAUACGAAGGGGGCUAGCGUUGUUCGGAAUUACUGGGCGUAAAGCGCACGUAGGCGGAUUUGUUAGUCAGGGGUGAAAUCCCGGGGCUCAACCUCGGAACUGCCUUUGAUACUGCAAGUCUCGAGUCCGAUAGAGGUGAGUGGAAUUCCUAGUGUAGAGGUGAAAUUCGUAGAUAUUAGGAAGAACACCAGUGGCGAAGGCGGCUCACUGGAUCGGUACUGACGCUGAGGUGCGAAAGCGUGGGGAGCAAACAGGAUUAGAUACCCUAGUAGUCCCUGAGCGGGCUGGCAAGGCGCAU
RNAcentral lists this ribosomal RNA (447 nucleotides) under uncultured bacterium. RNAcentral describes it as "bacterial SSU rRNA". It matches the Rfam family "Bacterial small subunit ribosomal RNA", at positions 355 to 825 of the family's 1533-position model. The record is from RNAcentral.